RNAcentral lists this unclassified non-coding RNA (448 nucleotides) under Hevea brasiliensis (rubber tree). The record is from RNAcentral. Lineage: Eukaryota; Viridiplantae; Streptophyta; Magnoliopsida; Malpighiales; Euphorbiaceae.
AAAAAAACACCUCACUAAGCCUUGCAAAUUCACUAAACCACAUUACCCCUUUUCAUAUGACUCCUCAGACCUUGUUGUCCCUUACCAAAUUGUCGAAAAUUCGGGGUUUUUGCUUCAUCCUCCAUUGAUUGAAAAACCUGAUUGUGUCGUAAUUGAGCAUAAAUCUGUUAGUUCUUGUGAAAAACCAUGCCUGAGUCCUGGAGAAAUCGACUCUAAAGGGAGUGGUUCGAUAGAUGUGUGUGAAGAAUUUCAUGAAGAUUUCGAUGCUGAAUCGAUUUUAGAUGAGGAAAUUGAAGAAGGUGUUAUUGAUAAUAUCAUGGGAAAGAUAAGAGAUGAGAAUGAACUCAAGAAUGAGUCGAUAUUUAGUUAUAGUUAUAGUCAUAGCAAGCGCCACCAGAAUAAUUCUGGUGGCACUUGCUAUGGUUUUCCAAUAGGAUUAGGAUUCGAA